GCAGUUGAGCGACCGGCAGAAAGGCAUGAAACACAAGAAUGUUUGGAAUUGCCAAGAGAUGUCCUGGCUGGAUGGCGUGAUAGAAGUGCGAGAGAAGGAGGACACCGGAGCCGGAGCUGAUGCUGACGGAGGACUCCCAGCCUGCAAUGACAGACCUGUGGUCAGUGUUCAGACAUCUAUUUGUUGCUGUUUUAUUCUGAUGUUUCCCUCAGAGCCUUUUCAAUCAGCUACAGGCCAGAAGGAAUCAGAACCCCAUGGAAAAGGGCUAUGCCAGGACAUAAGUGGAAAUAUUGGUUUUGCAACUAAACUCACAUUUGAAAAUGAUGCUCAUUCAAUCAAAUAUGACUAAACACUUUUAAGUGUUCUGGAACUAAGGAACUAAGACUGCCUUUACAGAGUCAUCCUUACAAAGCCUUCUUUGGAAAAACUGGCUUACAGAGUUCCCAGCCUUGCAGGUACUUCUCUCAGAGACUAGGCUUCCUGGCAGCUAAUACAAGAGGUGAUGAGUGCACAUCGUAUCUCAGGUGUCUCAUAAAGAAUUCUGGUUGCUCUUGGUUGUCUGAGAUAAAAGGCCUGAUGACUAUGGAGGGGCAGGCUUUCAUAAGAAUUAUCAAUGAAGGCAAGGUGAUGGUUAUCAGGCAAGUCCUUCCAACCUUCAGAAGAACUCUGAAUUAAAGUUGGACUGACCCCUGAGUAUCUGUGAUUCUACCAUCACAGUGCCACAUCAGUACAGAAAAGAGAGCUCCGAUGACACAGAACGCAGUUUGCAGCUUGAUGACAUGUGUAUUCUCGCACUGCUGACAUUACAACCAAGACCUCAGAACUCUUAAGACAACAGCAAUGGUAUGUCCUUGAGGCAGCAGGAAAGUAUCAACAACCUACCUGCCUGCAGUUCACCCAUUCAUGGAUUUUCCCUGCCUAGACUACUGCUCUAAAGACUCUGAUCUGAAGAACUUUUGCUUUCCAUGAUCUUCAAAACCUGCCUCCUCAAACACUGCCCAAUACUCUAGACGAGAUAUCCAGUUUGCUCUGACCUUUACUGUACAUGUUUGGUCCUUCCAGAAUAUUAGGAGCUUCCUCAACUCCUAACAGAUUGCCCAAGGGAGCAUCCUGUGGAAUGGAAAUCCGUUUCCACAUUAUCUCUGUAAUGCCAAUCCUGCUGAUCUCAGUUCAGCAGCAAACUGUAACCCCUGGACACUGGUAUGGUUCUAGAGCCCUCUUGUAACUUUCAAGAGCAUUCCCAAAGCUACCAGCAUCCUAUCAUUGCUCUUGGCCAGAAUGGCUCUAAUAAAGCAUGUAUCAUACACUAAUCAAAAUGGCUUAGCUUUUAAACCACUGUACUUGUGAGAGGACCUAGUAACACCUUCGUAACACUUCCUUUGUCAGUGUUACAAAAGAAGUAACAAGGAUCCCACCACCUUGUAAAAGCUCUAAAAGAUAUGCUGGAAGGGAGUCUACACACACAAAAAAACUUCUGACAGAUUUCACCAACUGCUGUCUUUUUCAAUUUGAUCUUAAAAUGAAAAUAUAAAAUAUGUGAGUAAAAAUUUAAAGUGCCAUUCGUAAAGGAUUGAAUAUAUCUUCAUUCAAGCAUGGGUAUCAUGUGGAUACCAUCCCUUUGUUCAUGAGUAAGGUAUCAUCUGUACAAUAAGGAGUUCCUACUCUAUUACAUGAGAUAAACAGGUAAACAACUAACAGAUAUGACUAUGUGGCAAAACUAAAUAAACGCCAUAUCAGAGAUACAGAUGCUAGUUUCUUGUAUCCUCCCACUACCACCCAUCCAUCCACAAUGAGAACAGAAAGGAAGGAGACAUAAGGGAAGGUUUGGGAAGUCAGUAAGUAGACUACUGCAAUAAUCUAGAUCAAGGGUCAGCAAACUUUUUCUGUAAAGAGCCAGAGAGGAAAUAUUUUAUGCUUUGCAAGUCAUAUUCUCUAUUACACCUACUCAAUUCUGCCAUUGUCAGACAAAAGUAGUCACAAGGAA
RNAcentral lists this long non-coding RNA (1984 nucleotides) under Homo sapiens (human). RNAcentral's name for it is "HSALNT0357684". The record is from RNAcentral. Lineage: Eukaryota; Metazoa; Chordata; Mammalia; Primates; Hominidae.